RNAcentral lists this ribosomal RNA (500 nucleotides) under uncultured bacterium. RNAcentral describes it as "partial 16S ribosomal RNA". It matches the Rfam family "Bacterial small subunit ribosomal RNA", at positions 30 to 523 of the family's 1533-position model. The record is from RNAcentral.
AUUGAACGCUGGCGGCAUGCCUUACACAUGCAAGUCGAACGGCAGCACGGGAGCAAUCCUGGUGGCGAGUGGCGAACGGGUGAGAAAUAUAUCGGGACGUGCCCAGUCGUGGGGGAUAACGUAGCGAAAGCUACGCUAAUACCGCAUACGAUCUAUGGAUGAAAGCGGGGGAUCGCAAGACCUCGCGCGAUUGGAGCGGCCGAUAUCAGAGUAGGUAGUUGGUGAGGUAAAGGCUCACCAAGCCGACGAUCUGUAGCUGGUCUGAGAGGACGACCAGCCACACUGGGACUGAGACACGGCCCAGACUCCUGCGGGAGGCAGCAGUGGGGAAUUUUGGACAAUGGGCGCAAGCCUGAUCCAGCAAUGCCGCGUGCAGGAUGAAGGCCUUCGGGUUGUAAACUGCUUUUGUACGGAACGAAACGGCGAGCUCUAAUACAGUUUGCUAAAGACGGUACCGUAAGAAUAAGCACCGGCUAACUACGUGCCAGCCGCCGCGGUAA